Long non-coding RNA from Camelina sativa (false flax), 1075 nucleotides. RefSeq lists it as uncharacterized. NCBI's taxonomy places the organism in Eukaryota, Viridiplantae, Streptophyta, Magnoliopsida, Brassicales, Brassicaceae. The record is from RefSeq and is a predicted model, not a curated record.
UUAGCUAAUUUUAAAGAUUCACCAGAAUCAAUUGACCCACAUAGUUAUGUUGCCUCCAUCACUAGCAGCAACUACUAGAUAAGAUUGAAUGAAAGCUUCUAGCUUUUGUGGAUCAUAACUUUGGAGAAAAGCUAGAAAGAAAUGAGAAACUUUCUAGCUUUUAUGCCGUUCCUGGUUAAAGAUUUGUCGAUGUCAUGUCGGCAUUCAAAUUAAUCUCGGUUACCGAACCAACUCUAUGUUCUCAUGGCAGAUUUUGCACAUCUUCCCACGGAUGACAUUAACCCACGGCUACUCCGUCUCGAUGGUGGGUGGAAGGCUGCUCAGAUCCACAUUUUUCGUGAGGAACAGUAGGAUUCCAGAGCUGUAUGUUGGUUCCCAGGGCUUUGCACGACGUUGCCGAGGAUUUGACUCUCCCUCUUGCCUCCCUUCCCUGAUGGAUAUUCUGAUCUCGGUCCUGUCUUCCUGUUCUGACCAUGGUGACCGUUUGGAGAAGACAAAUCUGGUGGCAGUCGGCCAAGUUCGUGAGUGGUUCCAGCGUGCCGGCUCCUCCGACAUAGACCUGGUUGUUGUUCUAUAUGGCGGCGGUGCAGAGACGUUCUCGGUCUUAUUCCAAAGGUUAUUUUCAAUCUCGCCAACUUUCAUUCCCCUCCACCAUCAGCCAACGCCAUAUGAUGCUACUCCGACCUCCGAGAGCGUCUCUAGAUCUAAAGGUCCGCUGUUCUCCUUCUCGCUUUUAUUGGUGGAAGAAAUUUUCUUGGAAACGUUUCAUCAAUACCCCAGAUCUGAAAACAAAGACGAUUGACGUCUGCCGCCUGUCAUGUCUUUUCCGGCUAUUGCCGAGCCUCCAUCUCCGAUGACGACGUUGACGUCCCGAUAAGUUUCUCGAAAUCAACAACCACAAAACCUAGAAGUUUCAUCUUAUGGGCUUGGGUUUGGGCCAAAAUGUAUCCUAUGGAUUUGAAUUUCAAUUCAAUUACACAUUUCAUCAGGUUAAGCCUCAAUGUAAAGGGCCAACCUUGUUCUUUUACAUUUUCCUUCGAGAAGAAGAGAUUAUUAAAAAUUUGUUCAAAAAUUA